Oncorhynchus kisutch (coho salmon) is the source of this 1092-nucleotide long non-coding RNA. RefSeq lists it as uncharacterized. Lineage: Eukaryota; Metazoa; Chordata; Actinopteri; Salmoniformes; Salmonidae. The transcript is spliced from 4 exons. The record is from RefSeq and is a predicted model, not a curated record.
ACAGUUCAUUUAACCCGAGAAUACAUAAAGGACAAUUAGUGUAUUGUCAAUGCAGGGUUUACCAGGAAAAAGAGGAGUUGAUGGAAAAAGUGGACUUCGUGGACCAAAGGUGUAAUGCACUUUUCAAUCGGUUACAUUUACAUUUUAGUCAUUUAGCAGAUUCUUUUAUCCAGAUACCUUAAGAAUGUUGAGUAAUUCACAUUGUCUAACCAGCUUAUAUGGAUUUGAGUUAUCAAGAUUCAAUUUGAAUGCAAUUUGUGUUUGAUUCCAGGGAGAUUAGGAGAGGGGAGAUUAGGGGAGAGGGGAAAGACUGGGACCGGUGGUCUCAAAGGAGACGUGUAUGUUUUACUCUGCAACUUUUUAUGAUUAUUAUUUUCUUUAAGGUUUUCUCAUAGAUUUAUCCUUCUCCUUCCUCUGUGUUUUUCUCAUGGAUUACAAGGUCCAAGAAGGAAGAAAGGAGAGUCUGGAACAAGAGGAAAAAUUGUGGGAUAUUUAAUUUUGAUUUAAAAUAUACAGUAUUAGUAGCUGUUGUGUCAUUAAAGUUUGAUGUUUGUACACAGGGGACAUUGGGAAAGAGGGGGUUAAUCGGGUCUCCAGGAGGUAAAGGCAGACCUGGGCCUGCUGGUCCCCUUGGAGAGAAAGGUGGUAAAGGAAUAGAAGGGCCAAAGCAAAACCGGACCAUGACCAGGAGAACGCUUGACUCAUUCCCUGACCUUCACUCAAGCAGCUCCUUCAGCUGGCCUCAGGGCACCAAAGACAGCCCUGCAACCACCUGCAACAAGCUGGGGCUGAUUCAUCCACACCUGCAGGAUGGAAACUUUUACGUGGACCCUAACCAGGGCUGCCUGUUUGAUGCCCUGCAAGUGUACCUGUAACUUCACUGUAGGAGGGAUGACCUGUAUACCUCCUGUGUUGUCACAAGUGGAGGUACGAGUAUGGGGGAGCACAGAGAUCCAUAGAGAGGACUUGGAGCUGUUGCCCCUCAGGGACGUUAGUGCGGAGGGAAGGGGAGAAGGGGAAGGGGAGGCUCUGCAUCUGUCCUCGUGCUCCUAGACCUUAGUGCUGCUUUUGAUACCAUCGAUCACCACAUUC